RNAcentral lists this long non-coding RNA (353 nucleotides) under Sorghum bicolor (sorghum). RNAcentral describes it as "long non-coding RNA (SBIC_LNC007061)". Lineage: Eukaryota; Viridiplantae; Streptophyta; Magnoliopsida; Poales; Poaceae. The record is from RNAcentral.
UUUGAUGUUUUCAAAGAUGCUCAGAACCGGGAAAUCUUCAUGAAUGCAGAUUCACCAACACGUCUGAUUUGGAUAAGGAAGAAAUGGUUAGUUUUUUAGUUGUCUUUGAGUUUGCUGACAUCUUUUAAUUACUUUCAAGAACUCACUAGAAAACUUUUGCUUUGAACCAGUAUGCAGACAUGAGGGAAACAAUACUGAGUUUUGAGUGAGAGGUUAGUCUUUGUUUUUAUCCAGUAAGAGCUUAGACAGUUAAGACAUUAUUUUUAUGAAUUAUUGUGAGAUGUUUAACCACUGAAUUUCUAAGCUAUCCAAAUCCAAAUAGUUCAUAUAUUGUUGAUAGCAGUAGGUUGAGA